GACGAACGCUGGCGGCGUGCCUAAUACAUGCAAGUAGAACGCACAGUUUAUACCGUAGCUUGCUACACCAUAGACUGUGAGUUGCGAACGGGUGAGUAACGCGUAGGUAACCUGCCUGGUAGCGGGGGAUAACUAUUGGAAACGAUAGCUAAUACCGCAUAAUAUUGAUUAUUGCAUGAUAAUUAAUUGAACGGUGCAAUUGCACCACUACCAGAUGGACCUGCGUUGUAUUAGCUAGUAGGUGAGGUAACGGCUCACCUAGGCGACGAUACAUAGCCGACCUGAGAGGGUGAUCGGCCACACUGGGACUGAGACACGGCCCAGACUCCUACGGGAGGCAGCAGUAGGGAAUCUUCGGCAAUGGACGAAAGUCUGACCGAGCAACGCCGCGUGAGUGAAGAAGGUUUUCGGAUCGUAAAGCUCGGUUGUAAGAGAAGAACGGGUGUGAGAGUGGAAAGUUCACACUGUGACGGUAGCUUACCAGAAAGGGACGGCUAACUACGUG
This 505-nucleotide ribosomal RNA is filed under the name uncultured bacterium. Its description in RNAcentral is "partial 16S ribosomal RNA". It matches the Rfam family "Bacterial small subunit ribosomal RNA", at positions 28 to 507 of the family's 1533-position model. The record is from RNAcentral.